AUUGAACGCUGGCGGCAUGCCUUACACAUGCAAGUCGAACGGCAGCGCGGGAGCAAUCCUGGCGGCGAGUGGCGAACGGGUGAGUAAUACAUCGGAACGUGCCCAAUCGUGGGGGAUAACGCAGCGAAAGCUGUGCUAAUACCGCAUACGAUCUACGGAUGAAAGCAGGGGAUCGCAAGGCCUUGCGCGAAUGGAGCGGCCGAUGGCAGAUUAGGUAGUUGGUGAGGUAAAGGCUCACCAAGCCUUCGAUCUGUAGCUGGUCUGAGAGGACGACCAGCCACACUGGGACUGAGACACGGCCCAGACUCCUACGGGAGGCAGCAGUGGGGAAUUUUGGACAAUGGGCGAAAGCCUGAUCCAGCCAUGCCGCGUGCAGGAUGAAGGCCUUCGGGUUGUAAACUGCUUUUGUACGGAACGAAACGGUCUUUUCUAAUAAAGAAGGCUAAUGACGGUACCGUAAGAAUAAGCACCGGCUAACUACGUG
This 484-nucleotide ribosomal RNA is filed under the name uncultured bacterium. RNAcentral describes it as "partial 16S ribosomal RNA". It matches the Rfam family "Bacterial small subunit ribosomal RNA", at positions 30 to 507 of the family's 1533-position model. The record is from RNAcentral.